RNAcentral lists this ribosomal RNA (432 nucleotides) under uncultured bacterium. RNAcentral's name for it is "partial 16S ribosomal RNA". It matches the Rfam family "Bacterial small subunit ribosomal RNA", at positions 29 to 506 of the family's 1533-position model. The record is from RNAcentral.
AACGAACGCUGGCGGCAUGCCUAACACAUGCAAGUCGAACGAGACCUUCGGGUCUAGUGGCGCACGGGUGCGUAACGCGUGGGAACCUGCCCUUAGGUUCGGAAUAACUCCCCGAAAGGGGUGCUAAUACCGGAUAAUGUCUUCGGACCAAAGAUUUAUCGCCUUUGGAUGGGCCCGCGUUGGAUUAGCUAGUUGGUAGGGUAAAAGCCUACCAAGGCGACGAUCCAUAGCUGGUCUGAGAGGAUGAUCAGCCACACUGGGACUGAGACACGGCCCAGACUCCUCGGGGGGGCAGCGGGGGGGAAAUUUGGAAAAGGGGCGAAAGCCUGAUCCAGCAAUGCCGGGUGAGUGAUAAAGGCCUUAGGGUUGUAAAGCUUUUUUACCCGGGAGGAUAAUGAACGGACCGGGAGAAUAAGCCCCGGCUAACCCCGU